This 595-nucleotide ribosomal RNA is filed under the name Hansenula anomala. RNAcentral's name for it is "Wickerhamomyces anomalus partial large subunit ribosomal RNA". The record is from RNAcentral. Lineage: Eukaryota; Fungi; Ascomycota; Saccharomycetes; Phaffomycetales; Wickerhamomycetaceae.
UUKUUGCAUAUCAAUAAGCGGAGGAAAAGAAACCAACAGGGAUUGCCUCAGUAACGGCGAGUGAAGCGGCAAAAGCUCAAAUUUGAAAUCUAGCACCUUCGGUGUUCGAGUUGUAAUUUGAAGAUGGUAACCUUGGGUUUGGCUCUUGUCUAUGUUCCUUGGAACAGGACGUCAUAGAGGGUGAGAAUCCCGUCUGAUGAGAUGCCCAUUCCUAUGUAAGGUGCUAUCGAAGAGUCGAGUUGUUUGGGAAUGCAGCUCUAAGUGGGUGGUAAAUUCCAUCUAAAGCUAAAUAUUGGCGAGAGACCGAUAGCGAACAAGUACAGUGAUGGAAAGAUGAAAAGAACUUUGAAAAGAGAGUGAAAAAGUACGUGAAAUUGUUGAAAGGGAAGGGCAUUAGAUCAGACUUGGUGUUUUACGAUUAUCUUCUCUUCUUGAGUUGUGCACUCGUAUUUCACUGGGCCAGCAUCGAUUCGGAUGGCAAGAUAAUGGCAGUUGAAUGUGGCUUCACUUCGGUGGAGUGUUAUAGCUUCUGCUGAUAUUGCCUGUCUGGAUCGAGGGCUGCGUCUUUGACUAGGAUGCUGCGUAAAAGAGAGUG